Molecule: long non-coding RNA, 778 nt
Filed under: Marmota monax (woodchuck)
Lineage: Eukaryota; Metazoa; Chordata; Mammalia; Rodentia; Sciuridae
Source: RNAcentral
GAAGCAGAUUGUUCCAGAGGACUAACUUCCAGACUAUUCUUGAUAUCAUUAAUUUUUUAAUGUAUCCAGUGAUUUAAGAGUUAAUGGUUCUUUUAUUCUAACUUACCACAACAUGGUAGGUUUUAUUUUUGUGUUAGAAAUGAUACAUACAUACAAAACAUUGCACCUUACUUUGCAAAACAGAAGUGCUUCACUGAAAGGAAGCCUAGGUUUAUAUAGACUUGGAGUAAAGAGAUUCAACCAUCUUGCCAUGGAGGACACUAUGUUCAUUCCUGGAACGUGGCAUUUGUGAGCCCAUCACACGGCCUUUGUCAACCUUAGCUUCUUCAGCACUUUAUUAGGAUCCACCUCAAAUAAGUGUCCCAUUGAGAUUUGAGGUGUGACAGGACACCAGUGCACCACUGAGGUUCCUUCCUAUGAACCAAAUGAGGAGAUCUAACCUGAAAUAGUACAUGGAAUGUCGAUCAACCUAAACUCCCAACAAAUUGGAAGCACAUUAGGUCAAUUCUAAGAAACACCUGCUGUGGUUUAGAUAUGGACUGUCCUUAAAUCUAUCUAUGGAUUUAGAGAUGGGGACCUUGGGACAUGAUCAGGAUUAGAUAAGAUCAUCAGAGUGCAGCCCCCAUGAUCAAAAUCUUGUGGCUUUAUAAGAAGAGGGAGAGAGACCAGAAAACAUACAUAUGCCUGCUCUGUCUCUUGUGAUAGAUGCCCUCUGCCACCUCAAUACUCUGCCGUCAAGAAAGCUAUCAUCAGAUGUAAACCCUUGAAUCUCUGUGAG